This 67-nucleotide transfer RNA is filed under the name Ephemera sp. XL-2019. Its description in RNAcentral is "tRNA-Tyr". It matches the Rfam family "tRNA". Rfam says of the family: Transfer RNA (tRNA) molecules are approximately 80 nucleotides in length. Their secondary structure includes four short double-helical elements and three loops (D, anti-codon, and T loops). Further hydrogen bonds mediate the characteristic L-shaped molecular structure. tRNAs have two regions of fundamental functional importance: the anti-codon, which is responsible for specific mRNA codon recognition, and the 3' end, to which the tRNAs corresponding amino acid is attached (by aminoacyl-tRNA synthetases). tRNAs cope with the degeneracy of the genetic code in two manners: having more than one tRNA (with a specific anti-codon) for a particular amino acid; and 'wobble' base-pairing, i.e. permitting non-standard base-pairing at the 3rd anti-codon position. The record is from RNAcentral. Lineage: Eukaryota; Metazoa; Arthropoda; Insecta; Ephemeroptera; Ephemeridae.
GGUUAGAUGGCUGAAAUAUUAGGUGAUAGAUUGUAAAUCUAUUUAUGAGGUUUAACCUCUCUUACCA